UACAGAGGGUGCGAGCGUUGUUCGGAAUUACUGGGCGUAAAGCGCGCGCAGGCGGCCUUUUAAGUCUCGUGGUGAAAUGCCGGGGCUCAACCUCGUGCCCGCCGGAGAUACUGGGAGGCUGGAGACAUGUAGAGGCAAGCGGAAUUCCGGGUGUAGCGGUGGAAUGCGUAGAGAUCCGGAAGAACACCGGAGGCGAAGGCGGCUUGCUGGGCAUUGUCUGACGCUGAGGCGCGAAAGCCAGGGGAGCGAACGGG
RNAcentral lists this ribosomal RNA (254 nucleotides) under uncultured bacterium. Its description in RNAcentral is "partial 16S ribosomal RNA". It matches the Rfam family "Bacterial small subunit ribosomal RNA", at positions 524 to 776 of the family's 1533-position model. The record is from RNAcentral.